RNAcentral lists this ribosomal RNA (497 nucleotides) under uncultured bacterium. Its description in RNAcentral is "partial 16S ribosomal RNA". It matches the Rfam family "Bacterial small subunit ribosomal RNA", at positions 28 to 507 of the family's 1533-position model. The record is from RNAcentral.
GAUGAACGCUGGCGGCGUGCCUAAUACAUGCAAGUCGAGCGAACAGAUAAGGAGCUUGCUCCUUUGACGUUAGCGGCGGACGGGUGAGUAACACGUGGGUAACCUACCUAUAAGACUGGAAUAACUCCGGGAAACCGGGGCUAAUGCCGGAUAACCUUUAGAACCGCAUGGUUCUAAAGUGAAAGAUGGUUUUGCUAUCACUUAUAGAUGGACCCGCGCCGUAUUAGCUAGUUGGUAAGGUAACGGCUUACCAAGGCAACGAUACGUAGCAGACCUGAGAGGGUGAUCGGCCACACUGGAACCGAGAGACACCCCAGACUCCUACGGGAGGCAGCAGUAGGGAAUCUUCCGCAAUGGGCGAAAGCCUGACGGAGCAACGCCGCGUGAGUGAUGAAGGUCUUCGGAUCGUAAAACGCUGUUAUUAGGGAAGAACAAAUGUGUAAGUAACUGUGCACGUCUUGACGGUACCUAAUCAGAAAGCCACGGCUAACUACGUG